Long non-coding RNA from Eutrema salsugineum, 905 nucleotides. RefSeq lists it as uncharacterized. The record is from RefSeq and is a predicted model, not a curated record. The transcript is spliced from 3 exons. NCBI's taxonomy places the organism in Eukaryota, Viridiplantae, Streptophyta, Magnoliopsida, Brassicales, Brassicaceae.
ACAAAAUAUCGUAAAAAUAAACGGGGAAGCAAAGGGUUUAAGAGCCAGCUACAAGGUUGCAAAUCAUAUUCCUUUUUGCUCUCUCUCUUUACUCUCCCAUCUAUCUAAUACUCCGAAAUUGAAGGAGUUACUUCGGUGAUAGAGGUCGAGGGGGAAGGUCAAGUAGACGUGAAGGGAGAAUUUGAUAAGCUUGAAAUGACAAAGGCACUAAAGAAAAUAGAUGACUCUGUUGUCAUAAUCAAGGUUGGACCAGAUGAAGAAAAAGAUCCAGAAGUGAAUAAGCCACCCAAUGAAGAAACUUUUUCCAAAACAGCCUUUGGAGGAAACAAACCGCAUAUUGACAAAGAAGAAUUGAAUAAGCCAUCCGUUGCUGCCGGUAGCUCAAAUUGGAGAAAACCGCAAUAACCUACCUUGUGGGACAAGGCAAAGGGUAUUGGUGCGAGUGCGGUUACGCAGGCAUCAGUCCUCCGUGCCACUGCGGUUAAGCAGGGAAAAGUUUUUGGAGCGGAAGCGGCUAAAAUUUAUAAAAAAUAAAAUAAAAGAGGAUGAUGAUCAAGGUGGCACCAUGGAGAAAUUCAAGAGAAUAAACAAGCAGAACUGGGGGAUUAAUAAGAGAAUAAGAUUCGGAGGAGAAAAGACACAAGGGACAACAAGUCAACAACACAAGGUUCCACAGGAGAUAAAACGUGGACGAAUACUUUUACUUCUUUAUUCACAACUGGACAGACGAGUACGCGAGACCCAGGUUCGACACAAACACAGAAAACGGAGAAAAGUUAGGCAACCAUGGGAAAUUUUCAAUACAUCAAACCAUUACCCAUAGAAUGACGUUGUUCUGGACUAGAAUUUCAUCUCAUCUUCUAAAACAAUGUUUGUCUCCUUGUUUGUUGUGGUAUUUAUUACAU